Hippocampus zosterae (dwarf seahorse) is the source of this 1298-nucleotide RNA transcript. It is a transcript of the gene named sialic acid-binding Ig-like lectin 15, with no coding region annotated. Lineage: Eukaryota; Metazoa; Chordata; Actinopteri; Syngnathiformes; Syngnathidae. The transcript is spliced from 7 exons. The record is from RefSeq and is a predicted model, not a curated record.
CCUUCCUGAAUUGCUGUGGUGGCCCAGUGUUGGUGUGUGUUUAUGGAGUUCCACACGCCGCCGGUGUGUACUUUUGCGUGUAUGUCCAAGAUGCGUGUGCGUGUUAUUGUGCGUGUGUGUGUUCUGCUGCUGGUGACCACAGAGGGUUUGCCAUCAUCUGGGUUGACUGUGCACGUCUCUGAUGAGGUCAGCGUGUUGCGAGGACAAGAUGCCAUCCUGGGAUGCUCCUUCACUCAUCCCAAGCAGGACCGCUACACCGACAACAUCACGUUGAGCUGGAUCCGCGGAAUCGAAACUAAUUCACCGUUUUUCCAAUGUAACGUCAAGAACGACUCAUUGGCCAAACUCGAAUGCCUUGCCCUCGGCGAAUACUCGUUGGCCGGCAACCUCCGCCAGGGGAAUGCGUCGCUUCGCAUCAGCGCUGUCCAAGUGCAGCAAGACGCUGUGUACUUCUGCAAAAUAGAACUGAAGCAAGGAGGGUCACAGACCAAAGAGGUGAUGCUGAAGGUACAAGUGAGGCCUGCAAUCCUGAGCCUGUCAAUGGUCACCAGCAGUUCCAGUGCCCCCAACAGGCUACAGUGUGUGGCAGAGGGCCUACCGCUGCCCAACAUCACCUGGCUGUCAGCUUACGGGCAGCCGUUAGCGACAGCAUUAGCGGCGCGUGUGAAGACCUCAUUUGCACAUUGGUACCUCAACAGCUCCUUACCAUACGAGGGACAGGAAGAGCUCACAUGCCGGGUGGAGAAUGCGCUGGGGCGAGCCGAGGGGACGUACCCGCCAGCGAAGACGCUGAGGGACGUGGGCCUGGUUCGCGAUGUUGUUGCGGUUGCAGUGCUGAUGUUGGCCACAUGUGGCUUCGUUGUCCACCGACAGAAGAUUAGAGCACGAAAUCGCAACGCUCAGAUUCAACAAAACGAUCAAAGACUAGAGAACCGCCUCCUGCAAUCCUCCCAUGGUCCACCCGGCGGCGCUAUUGCGCUUCAGACUGUUUAUGCCACUGUUGUUGUUCCUGAUGCCAGUGAGUGAAGGCGUGCCGUGUACAAAGUCCAAGCAUGCUCACAUAGAUCAACAACAAGAUAUCUUGUACUCAACUGUGGCAUUUCAGUAGUCUUCUUCAUCAUCUUUGAAGUUGUGUGUUCCUCCCCAAGCUUAAGGUCUGCACUGCCGGCAAAGGGGUGGGGUCAACAUUUAAAAAGCAGUUUGCAGAAGUUUGAGACAUUUUUGUCAUUCCUAAAUGGUGGCUCUCACAUGAAGCAUCAGGAUGUGAUCGAAGUGAAUAAAGAACCUUGUGUCAUGUU